AAUAUUUUAGCAGAGACUCCAUCUCCAAAAAAAGAAAAACAACAAAACGAACGUGAACGUCGGCAUCCUCCGGGGCUCCCAGGACGCCGUGACUUCCUGGCCACGGUGCUUACCAGGGUCUGGGCAGUGGCCCUGAACUCUCUACCUCGAAGAUUUCUUCUCUGGACACUUCGAUGCGGCAGUGACCAGCUUGGGGCUGCUGAAGCGACAGUUCAUGUCUGAGGACUUUCAGCUUCUGGACUAGAUCUCUUUCGUAUCUCUGGGCAGGAAGCUCCUCGUCCUCCAGAGAGCCCUCGCUGGGCAGUGGCAGCGGCUGGCUGGGCUCCUUGAGUUGGCACUGGUGACUUGGGAAGAAGAGACGCAGAGAGUCACUCUGAAGCCCCAGCCAGGGGAGCUGCAAGCACCCACGUACGCGACAGGGUCGGUGGAGUGGGCUUGCUAUGUGCACCUUCAGGGAGAAUUUGCAUAACCAGGUGCCUAGCUAGCUGUGUAAAAGUCGCUGAUGGCCACAUUAGCCUAAAUAUAGAUCUACAGUACAAUAAAGGAGGUACCCCAGGCCGGGCGUGGUGGCUCAAGCCUGUAAUCCCAGCACUUUGGGAGGCCAAGGCAGGUGAAUCACCUGAGGUCAGGAGUUCGAGACCAGCCUGGACAACAUGGUGAACCCUGGUCUCUACUAAAAAUACAAAAAAUUAGCCAGGUGUGGUGGUGGGCACCUGUAAUCCCAGCUACUCAGGAGGCUGAGAGAGGAAAAUCAUUUGAACCCGGGAAGUGGAGGUUGCAGUGAGCCGAGAUCGCGCCACUGCCCUCCAGCCCGGGCGACAGAGCCAGACUCUGUCUCAAAAAAAAAAGAGAGGUACCCCAAUUCCAAGCAACCACUUAUCUCGCACAUUACUACUACAAAUAAAACUGGAAAUGGUUGUCAUUUAUUAUGCAUCUAUUACACACCCAUGAGAUGGACCAGUACCAUCAGAUGCACCUUGGCAGUUAGAAUGAAAUGGAGAUGACGGGAAAAAAUUUUAAAGGAGAUAACAGUGGAGAGCUCAAAUGAAAUCUAAUGAUAGGCACAACAAACUGCUCAAGUGAAAUCUAAUGAAAACCAUCCCUCAUUUUUACCGCCAAGAGAUUUCCAUGCCUGCUCAUUGAGAGCAAACUUUCAGUAAAAUAAAAGGAGUAGGAUUAGUACAGUGACAAAGUGGCAGUUGUCCUGUUUAAGUUUUGCCACUGAGACACACAGCUGUCGGUAAAAAGAGCUAUGUCGAGGGUGGGAGCAGUGGCUCAUGCCUGUAAUCCCAGCACUUCGGGAGGCCGAGACAGGCAGAUCACCCGAAGUCAGGAAUUCGGGACCAGCCUGGCCAACGUGGCAAAAUCCCAUCUCUACUAAAAAUACAAUAAAUUAGCCGGGUAUGGUGGCAGGUGCCUGUAGUCCUAGCUACUUAGUAGGCUGAGGCAGGAGAAUCACUUGAACCAGGGAGACGGAGCUUGCAGUGAGCCGAGAUCGCGCCACUGCACUCCAGCCUGGGCGACAGAGCAGGACUCUGUCUCAAAAUUAAAAAAAGAGCUACGUGGGAUGUUUGGCUCUGAGAACACAACAGGCCUGGAACACUAAAUAUGGGAUCCAAGAGAAUUCCCAGUUCCGAGGUAUCCAGUUCCCCACCGUGCAGGCACUAGGGGGACAUCGUCUAUCUCUACUUCUCAACCUAAGGCCGCAUGUCUCAUGAGAGCGCUGCCUGCAGAAGCUUCCUUCGUGAAGCUGCCUAAGACUCCCAUCUCGGGAAAUUUUAUCUAGGCUGCAAGUAAGAAAAGGGUAGCAGCAAUCUAGGGCUUCAGCGCUCCUCACAGCUAAUUUAAGAGUUUAAAAUAUGCAGUUAUCCACCAGAUAUCUAACAUCAUUUUGACCACGCUUAUUACCCAACCAGCAAGGCAGUCAAUACAUUCACACAAAUCAGUCCAAGAAAGCAUUCAAUUAUCAAUGAAAGAGGUCAGCAAAAACUAUUUUUAAAGUCUUACUUCAUGAUGUGGUGUAACCUUGGGUCUGUAAACUGGGUUGUUCGGUUAUUAUGAUCUACAAAAUAUAUCCUCCCAGAAACUGUACUUCUGACUUCCCAGCCUGGCGGCAGUGGUCCAAGUUCAUCACAGUUCACACUGUUAAGGUCUCUACCAAAUGGAAGAUACAGAGAGGUUUAUCCAGCUGAGUACAGAGGAAUGAGGCCAAAAGUCAGCAACAGAAGCCACAGAGGUUCCUUAUCAAGGUGUCUGUGUCCCAGCUCUGCUAAGAUGGACCUUCAUGGUGCUACUUAUGCCAAACCUCCACUCAGUCCAGGCCCCUCUGUUGCAAACAGCAGCAACAUCCAAGAGAUUAAAAACCAAACUUUCAGGCUGGGUGCGGUGGCUCACGCCUGUAAUCCCAGCACUCUGGGAGGCGGGUAGAUCACCUGAGGUCAGGAGUUCAAGACCAUCCUGGCCAACAUGAUGAAACCCCGUCUCUACUAAUAAUACAAAAAUUAGUUGGGUGUGGUGGCGGGUGCCUGUAAUCCCAGCUACUUGGGAGGCUGAGGCAGGAGAAUCGUUUGAACCCGGGAGGUGGAGGUUGCAGUGAGCCCAGAUCACACCAUUGCACUCCAGCCUGGGUGACAAGAGCAAAAUUCCAUCUCAAAACAAAAAAAGGAAGUUUGAGAGCUUAUAACCAUGAUAAGGAACAGGGGCUCCCCACAGAAUAUCAUUUCUUAUACGAAAGAAGACCCAAAUAGUAGGAAGUAUCUUAGUGCUGUCAGAAAACUAACUGAAUUCACAAGUGUCAUUAAACGCUCCAGGCCAGAAGGGUUUCUUCAUUGGAAAGUUCCCAGACAGCACCAAGCUUUUCAGGGCGAAGGGAGAAUAGAGGAACAUGCAUUCAGAAACUCACAAUUCUAAACAGUUGCAGGACAAGCCAUUCUCAUUUUCAAAUGGGCUUUUUGUUCAACAAGUAUUUUCCACACUAAGAAUGAUUAUUCUCUUGAUUAAUCAUUUCAACACAAUCUACAGUCAGAAGGGAGCACAGCUUUACCGACCAAGAUGUGUUUCUAAUUAACACAAAAGCCUGUCAUUUCUAACGGGGUACAAAAGAGACACCGCAUUCGUUUGCAGGUAAUAUAUUUCCAGUCUCAUUAUAGGUACUGAGUCAUAAAUUAAACACAGAUUUGGAAAAUCAAAGACAGGAAGUUUAUGCUCAGAUGAAACAAAUUAUGAAUAAAAAGGAACUAAGUAUUACCAAAAAUCGUAUUAGGUAGUAAUGCUAUUCCAAAAGGAAAUAAAAAGCAAA
Molecule: long non-coding RNA, 3298 nt
Organism: Chlorocebus sabaeus (green monkey)
Lineage: Eukaryota; Metazoa; Chordata; Mammalia; Primates; Cercopithecidae
Source: RefSeq, a predicted model, not a curated record